UUCAAACAAUUUAACAUGAAUUUAUAAUAAUCACAAUAUACUUCGUGAGAAGAAAAGCUUACAUUUUAUAAAUAUAUAUGAGUUAAACUGUAUUCUGGAAAGCUUUUGCACAUCUCCAUACAAAAUUACGGUGAGCACAUGCAUAUUGAGCAAAAGCCAAAAUUUCACGAGACACCCACAUCAGGUUCCUCAACAUCAGAAUCAAGCUGACAAGUGUCCUCAGCUUCAGAGAUGUCCUCAGCAUCAGACUCAAGCGGACAAGGGUCCUCAUCUUCAGUAAUGUCCUCACCAGAAUCAAGCAGAGACGAUUUCCUAUUUUCAUAAUCUGGCUUAACCAGAAACUUAUACCAAGGUAUUGGGUCGUAGUCCUCAUGGGGUGAAGACUCUAUCAUCAGGGCUGCGUGAGAGAAAGCAUACAAUCAUUUUUCUUUUCCAAGGAAUCAAUAACAAGGAUUUCAAGACUUCCACGUCGUCUUAAAACUACGUUGACUUCUUUUCUUAUAAUGAAAAUUAUUAUGUUGGGGAACAACUUAUGCAGAAGUUUGAAACAUUGGUCAGAAGUUAAAUUCGUUAACUUCUUGUGUGCUAUGAGCUGAUCAAGGAUAAAGAUAAAAUUUACAACAGCCCAAUUAUAAUUUACCUAGGAGGUUCGCAAUCGUAAAGGGAUGUCCUACAUCUUACAGAAGACACAUAACCCAUGAAAUUAAAUGACUUACCCCCAUAUUUCUUUCUUUUAAUAUCAAAAACGUAAUCUGGAAGCACAUCUAGAACAUUUG
Molecule: long non-coding RNA, 776 nt
Filed under: Aquilegia coerulea
Lineage: Eukaryota; Viridiplantae; Streptophyta; Magnoliopsida; Ranunculales; Ranunculaceae
Description: long non-coding RNA (ACOE_LNC000261)
Source: RNAcentral